This 1112-nucleotide ribosomal RNA is filed under the name Sclerotinia sclerotiorum. Its description in RNAcentral is "SSU rRNA". It matches the Rfam family "Eukaryotic small subunit ribosomal RNA", at positions 33 to 1155 of the family's 1831-position model. Lineage: Eukaryota; Fungi; Ascomycota; Leotiomycetes; Helotiales; Sclerotiniaceae. The record is from RNAcentral.
UCUGUUCAAGAUUAAGCCAUGCAUGUCUAAGUAUAAGCAACUAUACUGUGAAACUGCGAAUGGCUCAUUAAAUCAGUUAUCGUUUAUUUGAUAGUACCUUACUACAUGGAUAACCGUGGUAAUUCUAGAGCUAAUACAUGCUAAAAACCUCGACUUCGGAAGGGGUGUAUUUAUUAGAUAAAAAACCAAUGCCCUUCGGGGCUCCCUGGUGAUUCAUAAUAACUUAACGAAUCGCAUGGCCUUGUGCCGGCGAUGGUUCAUUCAAAUUUCUGCCCUAUCAACUUUCGAUGGUAGGAUAGUGGCCUACCAUGGUUUCAACGGGUAACGGGGAAUUAGGGUUCUAUUCCGGAGAAGGAGCCUGAGAAACGGCUACUACAUCCAAGGAAGGCAGCAGGCGCGCAAAUUACCCAAUCCCGACACGGGGAGGUAGUGACAAUAAAUACUGAUACAGGGCUCUUUUGAGUCUUGUAAUUGGAAUGAGUACAAUUUAAAUACCUUAACGAGGAACAAUUGGAGGGCAAGUCUGGUGCCAGCAGCCGCGGUAAUUCCAGCUCCAAUAGCGUAUAUUAAAGUUGUUGCAGUUAAAAAGCUCGUAGUUGAACCUUGGGCCUGGUUGGCCGGUCCGCCUCACCGCGUGCACUGGUCCGACCGGGUCUUUCCUUCUGGGGAGCCGCAUGCCCUUCACUGGGUGUGUCGGGGAACCAGGACUUUUACUUUGAAAAAAUUAGAGUGUUCAAAGCAGGCCUAUGCUCGAAUACAUUAGCAUGGAAUAAUAGAAUAGGACGUGUGGUUCUAUUUUGUUGGUUUCUAGGACCGCCGUAAUGAUUAAUAGGGAUAGUCGGGGGCAUCAGUAUUCAAUUGUCAGAGGUGAAAUUCUUGGAUUUAUUGAAGACUAACUACUGCGAAAGCAUUUGCCAAGGAUGUUUUCAUUAAUCAGUGAACGAAAGUUAGGGGAUCGAAGACGAUCAGAUACCGUCGUAGUCUUAACCAUAAACUAUGCCGACUAGGGAUCGGGCGAUGUUAUCUUUUUGACUCGCUCGGCACCUCACGAGAAAUCAAAGUCUUUGGGUCUUGGGGGGAGUAUGGUCGCACGGCUGAAACUUAAGGAAUUU